UACUGUGCUAAGUCGGUUCAGUUGGGUCCCUUUCUGUGCGACCCUGUGGACUGUAGCCCACCAGGCUCCUCUGUCCAUGGGAUUCUCCAGGCAAGGAUACUGGAGUGGGGAGAGGGAAGGAGAGGAUGAGAUG
This is a long non-coding RNA of Cervus elaphus (red deer), 133 nucleotides long. RefSeq lists it as uncharacterized. The record is from RefSeq and is a predicted model, not a curated record. NCBI's taxonomy places the organism in Eukaryota, Metazoa, Chordata, Mammalia, Artiodactyla, Cervidae. The transcript is spliced from 4 exons.